GACGAACGCUGGCGGCGUGCUUAACACAUGCAAGUCGAACGGUAAGGCCCUUCGGGGUACACGAGUGGCGAACGGGUGAGUAACACGUGGGUGAUCUGCCCUGCACUUCGGGAUAAGCCUGGGAAACUGGGUCUAAUACCGGAUAGGACCACUGCCUGCAUGGGUGGUGGUGGAAAGCUUUUGCGGUGUGGGAUGGGCCCGCGGCCUAUCAGCUUGUUGGUGGGGUGAUGGCCUACCAAGGCGACGACGGGCAGCCGGCCUGGGAGGGUGACCGGCCACACUGGGACGGAGAUACGGCCCAGACUCCUACGGGAGGCAGCAGUGGGGAAUAUUGCACAAUGGGCGCAAGCCUGAUGCAGCGACGCCGCGUGAGGGAUGACGGCCUUCGGGUUGUAAACCUCUUUCAGCACCGACGAAGCGCAAGUGACGGUAGGUGCAGAAGGAGGACCGGCCAACUACGUGCCAGCAGCCGCCGUAA
This 478-nucleotide ribosomal RNA is filed under the name uncultured bacterium. RNAcentral's name for it is "partial 16S ribosomal RNA". It matches the Rfam family "Bacterial small subunit ribosomal RNA", at positions 28 to 523 of the family's 1533-position model. The record is from RNAcentral.